CCUACGGGUGGCUGCAGUGAGGAAUAUUGGUCAAUGGACGAGAGUCUGAACCAGCCAAGUCGCGUGAAGGAUGACGGCCCUAUGGGUUGUAAACUUCUUUUAUAUGGGGGUAAAAUGUUCCACGUGUGGGGUUUUGUAUGUACGGUAUGAAUAAGGAUCGGCUAACUCCAUGCCAGCAGCCGCGGUAAUACGGAGGAUCCGAGCGUUAUCCGGAUUUAUUGGGUUUAAAGGGAGCGUAGGUGGAUUUGUAAGUCAGUUGUGAAAGUUUGCGGCUCAACCGAGAGACUGCCGUUGAAACUGGAGGACUUGAGUACAGUAGAGGCGGGCGGAAUGCGUAGUGUAGCGGUGAAAUGCAUAGAUAUCACGCAGAACUCCGAUUGCGAAGGCAGCUUACUGGACCGCAACUGACACUGAUGCUCGAAAGUGUGGGGAUCAAACAGGAUUAGAUACCCUAGUAGUC
RNAcentral lists this ribosomal RNA (460 nucleotides) under uncultured bacterium. Its description in RNAcentral is "partial 16S ribosomal RNA". It matches the Rfam family "Bacterial small subunit ribosomal RNA", at positions 338 to 795 of the family's 1533-position model. The record is from RNAcentral.